GACGAACCGAGCGAACGUUGUUCGGAAUCACUGGGCUUAAAGGGCGCGUAGGCGGGUGCUCAAGUCCGUGGUGAAAUCCUCCGGCUCAACCGGAGAACUGCCUCGGAUACUGGGUGCCUCGAGGGUGGUAGGGGUAUGCGGAACUAUCGGUGGAGCGGUGAAAUGCGUUGAUAUCGAUAGGAACUCCGGUGGCGAAGGCGGGUCUCUGGGCAGUAACUGACGCUGAGGAGCGAAAGCGUGGGGAGCGAACGGG
RNAcentral lists this ribosomal RNA (253 nucleotides) under uncultured bacterium. RNAcentral's name for it is "partial 16S ribosomal RNA". It matches the Rfam family "Bacterial small subunit ribosomal RNA", at positions 524 to 776 of the family's 1533-position model. The record is from RNAcentral.